UACGUAGGCAGCGAGCGUUGUUCGGAAUUACUGGGCGUAAAGAGUGUGUAGGCGGUGCUCUAAGUCUGUCGUGAAAUCUCCCGGCUUAACCGGGAGGCUGCGGCGGAAACUGGUGUGCUAGAGGGUGGGAGAGGUAAGCGGAAUUCCUGGUGUAGCGGUGAAAUGCGUAGAUAUCAGGAGGAACACCGAUGGCGAAGGCAGGUCUCUGGGCCACUACUGACGCUGAGAAGCGAAAGCAUGGGGAGCGAACAGG
RNAcentral lists this ribosomal RNA (253 nucleotides) under uncultured bacterium. RNAcentral describes it as "partial 16S ribosomal RNA". It matches the Rfam family "Bacterial small subunit ribosomal RNA", at positions 524 to 776 of the family's 1533-position model. The record is from RNAcentral.